GCCGCGGUGGCGCAGUAGGGAGAGCGCCGCUCCCUCGCCUCUGAGGUCGGGGGUUCGAGCCCCGCCGCGGCC
Molecule: non-coding RNA, 72 nt
Organism: Lamprotornis superbus
Lineage: Eukaryota; Metazoa; Chordata; Aves; Passeriformes; Sturnidae
Source: the annotation of a GenBank genome assembly